CCGCCAGACAGACUGAAAGUCCCUGGGAAAGUGAAAGGGGGAGGGGGAGGGAGGCCCAAGUUUAAGGUCUCCGACUCUUAAAGAGACAAGACACUUCAGUCUUAGUGCAUCCCCAGCGGUCAGCUCGGGCCCUCGGGCCCUCCCACUCCUCUUCUCUGGGUUUGCACGCCCCGGGGGUAUUUCUCCCAGCACACCCGCCCCUGGGUCUCGGAACGGGAAGCAGCGGCUCCUGCGCGGCCCCUUCCUGACUGUCUGGCCCGGGUUGAGCCUGUCUGCAGCCCUCCCCUCUCUACUACCCCGCCUCCGUCUCCCCACCGAUCUUCGGUCCUUAAGAGGGAGGGGGCUGCUGCAGGUGGAAGAAGAAUACAGCUCCAGAGACUUAACCAACCGUCACACAGCUGGCCGGGACCAGAGUGGUUCUCCCUACUUCCAACACAGAGGUGUUAUUGUUGGUUUUUUCAUUACUCCAUCAGGAUCUUCUCUCAUCUACAGUAGAUGUUAUAUCUAGUAGAUAUUUUAUGCAGCAGAUUGAUUCCUGAAAAAAUUAUGUAAUUUGGUUCUUCUAAAAAUAAAAUUCCAUUUUUUUAAACA
RNAcentral lists this long non-coding RNA (591 nucleotides) under Vombatus ursinus (common wombat). Its description in RNAcentral is "lncRNA (ENSVURG00010019464.1)". Lineage: Eukaryota; Metazoa; Chordata; Mammalia; Diprotodontia; Vombatidae. The record is from RNAcentral.